RNAcentral lists this ribosomal RNA (254 nucleotides) under uncultured bacterium. RNAcentral's name for it is "partial 16S ribosomal RNA". It matches the Rfam family "Bacterial small subunit ribosomal RNA", at positions 524 to 776 of the family's 1533-position model. The record is from RNAcentral.
UACGGGGGGAGCAAGCGUUGUUCGGAUUUACUGGGCGUAAAGGGCGCGUAGGCGGUCAGCACAAGUCAGUUGUGAAAUCUCCGAGCUUAACUCGGAAAGGUCAACUGAUACUGUGCGACUAGAGUGCAGAAGGGGCAACUGGAAUUCUUGGUGUAGCGGUGAAAUGCGUAGAUAUCAAGAGGAACACCUGCGGCGAAGGCGGGUUGCUGGGCUGACACUGACGCUGAUGCGCGAAAGCCAGGGGAGCGAACGGG